GUCAUGUAUUAGGUGUGGAUACCGACCCUGGCUUCUCGUCCGCCUGGAAGAACUUUGCCUGGAGAAUACAACCAACCAGGCCAAAAGGAAAGAACUGGAAACCCAGACAAUGUGGGGGAGCCCCAUGGCAAUGACUUUGUCGUGGGGGAAGUAAUGUCCUCCAAGUGUCAGAGACACUGGGUUUUCCUCUGCCUUAAGAUUAACCUCUUCCAAAUGCUGCCUCUCUCAACUCAUGUGGAGAAAUAGUUACAGCAGGAUAAAACUCUGACUCUCUUAACUAAACCCAGGAGAGUCAUCUCCCAGUGUCCACAGAGUACUGGUGCCAGGGCCCAUUACGGGUACCAGGAUCUGAAGGUGCUCAAGUCCCGUACAUAAAAUGACAAAUGUUUGCACAUAACAUGUGCAUAUGCUUACAUUGUUUCUUUAUAUUUUUCAUUGAUACAUGGAAAUUUUACAUAUCUCUAGGUACCUUGUAGUGUUUUGAUAUGUGUAUGUAUUAUGUAACCUUCAAGUCAGGGUUAGCAUAUCUGUCUUCUGAAACAUCAUUUAUUUGAGGUGAAAAUAGCUUUAUUCAUAAACUUUAAUCAUCGUUAGAUUGCCUAUAAUGACAAUGUAAAUCAUAUGUAAAUACUGUAUCAUUUAUAGAAUAAUGACAAGGAAAAGAGUCUAUACAUAUUCAGUAUAGUAUUCAUUAUGUAUUCAUUUUCCAUCUGUGGUCGGUUGACUGUGGAUAUAGAGUUGUGAUAUUUGAGUCUUUGGGCAUUUUUUCUCUAGUGAAUGCUGUUUUCCUUCUUUUCAGAAUCUAGAGCGGAACGUGUGGUAGACAGCAAAAUACUCAUCGAUGUACUUGCUGCUCGAACACACAUCAGUUUCCAUGAGGGCUGCCUGCACCUCGGCUCUGUGGAGCUUCCCUUGGAUCUCAGAGCAGAGACCACAGAUCCGUUGGGAGCAGUUGGCCAUGCUGUUGUCUUCAUUCCCCGGGGUACCUUCAGGCUGCAGUUCCUGCCCUCACUUCUCAGCCUCCGACCAGCAGCUGCAGGAUGCAGACGGGGCCCCUCCCCUCUCGGCUUCCGGCAGUGCCAUGCAGGCUGGAUGGGACUUGGCGCGACCCUGUUGGGGUUGGUGCUAAUCUUUGGAGACAAAUAAAACAAUUCAGGAUGCUCAGCGUGUGAGGAAAUGUAUAUUCACUCGCACUUCACUCAUGCACGUAUCCUUUUGUUCAGAAUUUAUUGAUCGUCUACUUUGUAUUAUUCAGUGUAUUUGUCAGGCUACAGGUUAAACAGCUAAAACAAAGAAAGCAAAAAAUGCAGUGGCUUAAGCAAGCAAGCAACCAAGCAAGACGCCUUUGCUCUCGGCAGUCACAACCCAGGCAGGCAGCGUUGGCAGGACAGGGGUCUGUGGCUCGUCUAUCCCAGCUGGCAUAUCCAUGCAAUGUGUGUGAUUUGUAGAAGUAUCUGAGGAUACCUCAUUCCCCUACUCCAAAAAAGAAGGCUGUGUCGUCCAGCACUGACAGAGUGUGCUCAACCCACUUUGACAAUGACAAAUGUGGUGAACUUAAGAAACAUCAUAAAAUGCUUAUCUGAGAUUUAUUUUAAAACAUGUUGCAUUUUAGACAAGUUUUUAAAAAAGAAAACCUGUUCAUUAUACCUGAAAAGCAGGCAGUAGACAAAAGUUGUUUGCAUUAGAGAGAAAGCCUAUGCAGAUACCAGGAAGUAUCUAAGCUAACGCCCCCUGCGGCUGCAACCCCAGUCCUUUGGUGCAAGGUUUUGCAUCAAAGCCCUGUCUGCUAUACUGUCACCAAAAAUGGUGCUUCCAUCACCGGCAUCUCACUGGAGAAAGCUGAACUGGGUUUUGCAGAUGGUGAUGUGCAAUUGGAAGAAGAUUCCAACCUCCUUCUGUGGACAAGAGGAAGCGCUCCUGUUAGCUAAGGUCACUGACAAACUGGCUGGGUGCUUGCGGAGGAGGUAGAGAGAGACAGAACAGCACAUGCGGAUGUGGGAGCCUACCAUUCAUCCCCUCCCCUCCCUGCUCCUGCUUGCCUAGAUGCAGGAAGUACAGUUACCUCUCAGUAUCCACAGGGAUUUAUUCCAGGGAUCCCUUGGAUACCAAACCUUGUGGAUGCUCAAUCCCUUAUGGAAAGCAGUGUCAUAUCCGCACAUGACCUAUGCAAUCCUCCCUUACCCUUGACAUCUCCAGAUGACUUGCAAUAUUCAAUGCCAUGUAAGCAGUUGCUGUCCCGUGUUGUUAGGAAAUGAUGCAGACGCUCAGUAUGGAGGCAGUUUUCAGUCUGCAAUUGUUUGAAUCAGUGGACGUGGAACCCGUGGUAGAUUUUUUGAUCUGCCUACCCCUACCCCUUGACAGCCUGAACCUCAGUGUUUCACCUCAGCGAGGGUGAAACCUCUUUUUCUAAAUUAAUACCCAGAAUAAAACAGCCCUCUUCUGGGUGGUCA
Long non-coding RNA from Oryctolagus cuniculus (rabbit), 2450 nucleotides. The record is from Ensembl. NCBI's taxonomy places the organism in Eukaryota, Metazoa, Chordata, Mammalia, Lagomorpha, Leporidae.